RNAcentral lists this ribosomal RNA (492 nucleotides) under uncultured bacterium. Its description in RNAcentral is "bacterial SSU rRNA". It matches the Rfam family "Bacterial small subunit ribosomal RNA", at positions 28 to 518 of the family's 1533-position model. The record is from RNAcentral.
GAUGAACGCUAGCGGCAGGCUUAACACAUGCAAGUCGAGGGGUAUAGAGAGCUUGCUUUCUAGAGACCGGCGCACGGGUGCGUAACGCGUAUGCAAUCUACCUUUCACAAAGGGAUAGCCCAGAGAAAUUUGGAUUAAUACCUUAUAGUAUUACAGAAUGGCAUCAUUUUGUAAUUAAAGAUUUAUCGGUGAAAGAUGAGCAUGCGUCCCAUUAGUUAGUUGGUAAGGUAACGGCUUACCAAGACUACGAUGGGUAGGGGUCCUGAGAGGGAGAUCCCCCACACUGGUACUGAGACACGGACCAGACUCCUACGGGAGGCAGCAGUGAGGAAUAUUGGACAAUGGGCGCAAGCCUGAUCCAGCCAUGCCGCGUGCAGGAUGACGGUCCUAUGGAUUGUAAACUGCUUUUAUACAGGAAGAAACCCUCCGACGUGUCGGAGCUUGACGGUACUGUAAGAAUAAGGAUCGGCUAACUCCGUGCCAGCAGCCGAC